Molecule: small RNA, 809 nt
Filed under: Pongo abelii (Sumatran orangutan)
Lineage: Eukaryota; Metazoa; Chordata; Mammalia; Primates; Hominidae
Description: processed transcript
Source: RNAcentral
CGGAGUCACUCAUCCCUUAAGCAAGUAGGGUGGGGUUAGGUGCGCGUGCGCGGUUUUAAUACUCCUCCCCGAACUGCCAACUCUUCACGCAUGCGAAGUAGGCCCCGCCCUGCCUGGAUUUACGCGUGCGCACUAACGGGCCUGGUCCCGGAAGACCACACGCGUGCGUGGUGGGGACUACGGUGACAGUGCCCCGGGUGGGGCGAGGGCCAGUCAUGGCGGAGUCCUGGUCUGGGCAGGCCUUGCAGGCUCUGCCGGCCACGGUACUGGGCGCGCUGGGCGCGCUGGGCAGCGAGUUCUUGCGGGAGUGGGAGGCGCAGGACAUGCGCGUGACCCUCUUCAAGCUGCUGCUGCUGUGGUUGGUGUUAAGUCUCCUGGGCAUCCAGCUGGCGUGGGGUUUCUACGGGAAUACAGUGACCGGGUUGUAUCACCGUCCAGGUCUGGGUGGUCAGAAUGGAUCCACGCCUGAUGGCUCCACGCAUUUCCCUUCGUGGUGAGUAAAUCUGUCCAUAUCGCAACCCCAUGCUUGGCAUUCCAAGGACACUCCUGUGCUGGUGACAGAGAGGGGAGUUCUCAGGCUAUAAGCUCACCAGCUUAAUGGCCUUUGCAGUAAGCUUCAAGUCUGCACGUAGAGCUGAGGCUUCAAGUUAGGAUGACACCAAGGUCUGGACAGUCCAUCAGCAUGCUGUUCAGCAGCCUGUAGGAUAGGUGGUGGUAUUGUCAUAAUUUCAGAGAGAUGAAAUGACAGGUUUGUUGGAUUCCACUCCGCACAACCCCCUCAGUUGGGAAGGCAGUAAUCUCUGUCCUUA